CGCUCUACCCCUACUCAUCCUACGCAGAGCCCCCAUGACCUCCUCUAACCUAAUGCGCCUGCAGCACCCAAGGUCCCUAUGACGCUCUGAGUGCCCCAGUUCCCCUAGCUCUAUGUUACGAUCCCCCUCCUCGUUAAGUAAGUCCCGAAAGUACUCCUACCACCUCUGUUUGAUUUGAGAGUCCCCCAACAGAACUCUACCAUCC
Molecule: long non-coding RNA, 205 nt
Filed under: Nicotiana benthamiana
Lineage: Eukaryota; Viridiplantae; Streptophyta; Magnoliopsida; Solanales; Solanaceae
Description: long non-coding RNA (NBEN_LNC019967)
Source: RNAcentral